GGCCUCGUAGUCUAGUGGUCAGGAUAUCCGCCCGGCAAGCGGGUGACGUGUGGUUCGAUUCCCACCGAAGCAGCA
Non-coding RNA from Zophobas morio, 75 nucleotides. Lineage: Eukaryota; Metazoa; Arthropoda; Insecta; Coleoptera; Tenebrionidae. The record is from the annotation of a RefSeq genome assembly.